GCCCCCCAUUUCGCCCACCACAACUACAAACACCCUUCUAUCUAAAUCAAACCAUUUGCCAUGCAAAGUAUAUGCGAUAGAACAGCAUCUUGACGCGAUAGCACAUAGUACCACAUGGGACCACUGAAAGAUCAAUGAAAUAUACAAGCACAACAAAGCAGAGACAAACACUCGUACCUCUUGCAUCAUGAUUUAGCAAGCACCCCCAGAUAUAGCGCCCUUCAAUCUGCCGUCCCGAACCCAGACGAGCUACCCUGCGGCAAUUUAAUGAAUGCACCCAUCUCUGUAGCAAAAGCGUGGGAUGACCUCAGGGUAGUGGUGAAACGCCUAUCGAGCCUGGCGAUAGCUGGUUGCUCAUUAACUGAAUCUUAGUUCAACUAUGGGACAAGCUCCAUAAAUACCCAUAUCACAACGACUCACCCCAUAAGCUACACAAUAGAGGUACAGCUCUAUUGUAUCCGGAUAAAACCGAAAUUAGAGGAACCUUUUCCCCCCCUUUCCCCCCCGUAGGCCCUCAAGCAGCCACCAGAAAAAACCGCGUCACAGCAGACCUAUAAAAAUCCACUACUGAACCCGCCCCCCCUAUAACACAACUGAGCCACUCUAGCCCCUAGAAGAGAUUCUGCUAGAACUAGUAAUAAGGUUACACCUCUCAAGCACAACACUAAACCAAAACUAGAUAUACUGCUGGUAGUUAACAGACCCAAAGAAGGCAAAUUAAACCUCUUAACCUAUCUACCACAACUGUUACCCCAACACCGGUGUGCAUUAGAGACAGACUAACAACUAUAAAAGGAACUCGGCUAAAAUGUCCCAACUGUUUACCAAAAACAUAGCCUUUAGCCAAAUAAGUAUUAAAGGUGUCGCCUGCCCAGUGAACUAUUUAACGGCCGCGGUAUCCUAACCGUGCAAAGGUAGCAUAAUCAUUUGUCUCCUAAUUAGAGACUAGCAUGAACGGCUAAAUGAGGACAUAACUGUCUCCUAAAGUAAGUCAAUGAACCUGAUCCCUCAGUCCAAAAGCUGAGAUAAGACCAUAAGACGAGAAGACCCUGUGGAGCUUCAAACUAUAGUGCUACUUCACCACAUUAAACCAAAUAAAUACAACCUAGCACUCGUUUUUAGUUGGGGCGACUACGGAGCAAAAUAAAACCUCCAAGACGAGGAACCCCACCCCUCCACGGCCCACUAGCCAAGUAUAAGCCUGACCCAGCCAUGCUGAUCAACGAACCAAGUUACCCCAGGGAUAACAGCGCCAUCCUCUUAAAGAGCCCCUAUCGCCAAGAGGGUUUACGACCUCGAUGUUGGAUCAGGACCCCCCAGUGGCGCAGCCGCUACUAAAGGUUCGUUUGUUCAACGACCAAUGUCCUACGUGAUCUGAGUUCAGACCGGAGCAAUCCAGGUCGGUUUCUAUCUAUGAAAAAUCUUCUUCAGUACGAAAGGACCAAGAAGACAGUGCCAAUAGUUUAACCACGCACCGCAACAAAAACUGCAACAAACUCAAAUCUCUCUUUCUCUUUUUUCCCCCAGACAAGGGAACAU
RNAcentral lists this ribosomal RNA (1539 nucleotides) under Teratoscincus microlepis (Small-scaled wonder gecko). RNAcentral's name for it is "16S rRNA". It matches the Rfam family "Bacterial large subunit ribosomal RNA", at positions 274 to 2839 of the family's 2925-position model. The record is from RNAcentral. Lineage: Eukaryota; Metazoa; Chordata; Lepidosauria; Squamata; Sphaerodactylidae.